This 510-nucleotide ribosomal RNA is filed under the name uncultured bacterium. RNAcentral's name for it is "partial 16S ribosomal RNA". It matches the Rfam family "Bacterial small subunit ribosomal RNA", at positions 28 to 507 of the family's 1533-position model. The record is from RNAcentral.
GACGAACGCUGGCGGCGUGCUUAACACAUGCCAGUCGAACGAAGAGCGAUGGAAGCUUGCUUCUAUCAAUCUUAGUGGCGAACGGGUGAGUAACGCGUAAUCAACCUGCCCUUCAGAGGGGGACAACAGUUGGAAACGACUGCUAAUACCGCAUACGAUCUAAUCUCGGCAUCGAGGAUAGAUGAAAGGUGGCCUCUACAUGUAAGCUAUCACUGAAGGAGGGGAUUGCGUCUGAUUAGCUAGUUGGAGGGGUAACGGCCCACCAAGGCGAUGAUCAGUAGCCGGUCUGAGAGGAUGAACGGCCACAUUGGGACUGAGACACGGCCCAGACUCCUACGGGAGGCAGCAGUGGGGAAUCUCCCGCAAUGGACGAAAGUCUGACGGAGCAACGCCGCGUGAGUGAUGACGGCCUUCGGGUUGUAAAGCUCUGUUAAUCGGGACGAAAGGCCUUCUUGCGAAUAGUGAGAAGGAUUGACGGUACCGGAAUAGAAAGCCACGGCUAACUACGUG